GACUGGUUGGCGCAACGGUAGCGCGUUCGACUCCAGGCAUCCAAUUUCGGAUGCUAGUAAUCGAAAGGCUAGGCGUUCAAAUCGCCUACUGGUCA
This 95-nucleotide transfer RNA is filed under the name Dactylellina haptotyla CBS 200.50. It matches the Rfam family "tRNA". Rfam says of the family: Transfer RNA (tRNA) molecules are approximately 80 nucleotides in length. Their secondary structure includes four short double-helical elements and three loops (D, anti-codon, and T loops). The record is from Rfam by way of RNAcentral. Lineage: Eukaryota; Fungi; Ascomycota; Orbiliomycetes; Orbiliales; Orbiliaceae.